RNAcentral lists this transfer RNA (64 nucleotides) under Melolontha hippocastani. RNAcentral describes it as "tRNA-Leu". The record is from RNAcentral. Lineage: Eukaryota; Metazoa; Arthropoda; Insecta; Coleoptera; Scarabaeidae.
GUUACUUUGGCAGAUAAGUGCUUUAAAUUUAGAAUUUAAAUAUGUAUAGAUAGUACAAGUAAUA